RNAcentral lists this ribosomal RNA (465 nucleotides) under uncultured bacterium. Its description in RNAcentral is "partial 16S ribosomal RNA". It matches the Rfam family "Bacterial small subunit ribosomal RNA", at positions 28 to 507 of the family's 1533-position model. The record is from RNAcentral.
GACGAACGCUGGCGGCGUGCUUAACACAUGCAAGUCGAACGGAAAGGCCCUGCUUGCAGGGUACUCGAGUGGCGAACGGGUGAGUAACACGUGGGUGAUCUGCCCUGCACUUCGGGAUGAGCCUGGGAAACUGGGUCUAAUACCGGAUAGGAGCCAUUUUUAGUGUGAUGGUUGGAAAGUUUUUUCGGUGUAGGAUGAGCUCGCGGCCUAUCAGCUUGUUGGUGGGGUAAUGGCCUACCAAGGCGGCGACGGGUAGCCGGCCUGAGAGGGUGGACGGCCACAUUGGGACUGAGAUACGGCCCAGACUCCUACGGGAGGCAGCAGUGGGGAAUAUUGCACAAUGGGCGCAAGCCUGAUGCAGCGACGCCGCGUGGGGGAUGACGGCCUUCGGGUUGGAAACUCCUUUCGCUAGGGACGAAGCUUUUUGUGACGGUACCUAGAUAAGAAGCACCGGCUAACUACGUG